This 4947-nucleotide long non-coding RNA is filed under the name Lathyrus oleraceus (garden pea). Its description in RNAcentral is "Pisum sativum (pea) long non-coding RNA (PSAT_LNC003508)". Lineage: Eukaryota; Viridiplantae; Streptophyta; Magnoliopsida; Fabales; Fabaceae. The record is from RNAcentral.
UAAUUAAAUAAAAUAUUUAAAAAAAUUAUUUAUGUUAUAACAAAAAUUACAUGGAAUUGAUAAAAAAAUUCAAUGACCGGCCUGAUCGAAACGUCCCCCUGUUCCACAUCCAGGUGCGUUAGUCUGUCUUCGAGGUCUCCCACGAUUUUCCUGAGGUGUUUGGGAUCUUUGAGUGCUGACAUGACCCAGUGGUGGCUGGUGUGAAGGUUCGGUGAAAGGUCCAACGGUAUUUGAUAGAUGUGUCAUCAUUUGUUCCCAAUAGUCGGGGGGCUCUGGCCAACGGCGCUUUCGUAAUGGAGUUCGGUGCCCAUGUUAUCGUAGUUGGGUCGAUGUGGUUGGGUGAAUUGUGGACAAUAUAGUUGCCUGAAUUAGGAUAUUGAAUCAUUUUGGAAAUGAAGCAAUGGUUCCUGAGGUGUACUAUAGUUAAACAAUGGUUGGGUGUUUUGGUGAUGAGAUGUUUAGGUGAUCAUUGAAAGGGGGCUACGAUGAAGUGAACCGUAUGAAUCAUCUGACCUAUAGACUGUUGUGGUGGCUGCGUAUGAUUGUUGGUGGGUAGGGUUUGAUUCUUGGUUUUAAGGUUGGGUGUGUGGCAUGAAUGAGUUGUGAGGUUGGGUGUUUGGUUGUUGGGUGUAUGUGGUAGGGUGAUGGUGUGAAGUUGGUUGUUGGGUUUGGGUGGUUUGACAUUGGUGUUGGACGGGGACUUGUUGUUGGGCGUAUGAUGACGAAACUAGUUGGCGUGGAUCAAUCAAAUACCUUGGCUCAGACACAAAUUGUUGCGUUGUAACCGACCUAAACCAUACCAUAUAUUGUUGAGUAGGUCUAGCACCCUGUAUGACUGGUUCGCUUAAGAUGUGUUGUCGUCGAUUCCUCCAAUGACGAUACAUCUCUUUCACAUGGAACUAUCAGUUUAUUGUAAAGUUGAUAGAACUAAUGCAUUGAGGUAUAAAAUUUAUUGUAGAAACGAGCACUGCCUUUUCAGGUUGUCAGCUUCGUAUAGGAAGAUAAGUGAUUCUUGGGAGAUCGGAUCCAUGAACUCAAUGCAAGACCAUUGAAAACUUAGCUCUCAGUUAAUAUGCGAUGAAAUUUUGUUUGUCAUUAGCGACAAUCCUUCAUUAAAGGUGAGUACAAUAAUCUCGCAUAUUGUAGCACAAUACAAAUAUACCCCAUCAUAUAGGAAGACUUGGAUAGUUAGGACAAAGAUGGUUGAAAAAGUGUAUGGCAAUUGGGAGGAGUCUUAUAAACAACUUCCAAAAUACUUGUUGGCUCUUAAACAGUAUGCUCCAGGGACUAUUGUCAAGUUGGAAACGUUGUCGACGUAUACAUCGGACGAGACUUGUGCUAUUGGAAAUUGAAUAUUUCACCGUCUCUUUUGGACGUAUCAACCAUGCAUCAAAGGUUUUUCUUUUUGUAAAUCUAUUAUACAAAUUGAUGGUAUAUGGUUGUAUGGGAAAUAUAAAUGAACGUUACUGAUGGCAGUGGCACAAGAUGGCAACAUCAACAUUUUUCCAAUCGCCUUUGCCCUUGUUGAAGGGGAGACUGCUGAUGGAUGAAGUUUUUUCCUAAGAAAUCUCUGAUUCCACGUUGUUCAUCAAUCUAACUUAUGUUUGAUCUCCGAUCGACACCCUUCAAUAGUAAGUGCAUGCAACCGAUGAAAAAGAUUCAUGGGAGAAGUACAUAGAUUCAUUGGAGUUAUAUUCAUUUUAGAAUGUAGAAUACAAUUAUACACGUUUUCAUUGUAUGGAUUCAAGUUUAAGAUAAUAUCAUCUAUUAUGCUCUUUGUAAUUUGAUAUAUAUUCUGGCAUUCUGUUUCUUACUUUCGUUUACUAAUAGUAUACGAAACCAAUGUUUUAAAAUUGUGGCAUUCUAUUUCUUACUUUCGUUUAUUAAUAGUAUACGAAACCAAUGUUUUAAAACUCUGGCAUUCUAUUUCUUACUUUCGUUUACUAAUAGUAUGCGAAACCAAUGUUUUAAAGAUUCGGUCAAACUACAAAUAAUUAUGUUAUUGAUAGGAUCAAUGGAUCACUUUUCGGACACAUGAAUUUUAAUAAUGUAAAAAUAUAACUUUUUUUUUGAUAAUAUGAUUUUUUUUAAAAAACUUUUGUUAAUUUAAAAUAUUACUAUAUUAUAUAAUUAAUUGCCUAACAUUUUAAACUUAUUAUAUUUUUAUAUUGAAUGAUUAAUAAUAAGUUAAGUUUAAUGAAAAUUAUAAUGUUAUAAUUAUAGAAUAUAUAACUCUCUUCGCAUUAAUUAAAUUAAACAUCAAAGAGAUUCAUAGUGCAAUUGAUAAAAUUACAAUCCUAAUAAUUUUGAAAGGUUACAAGUCCGAUUCUUAAAAUUUGACAAAAUUUUAUUUUUAGAAUUUUAAUAUUAUUUAGUUAUUAAUAACAUAAUUAUAAAUAUUAAUAAAAUCAAAUUUAAAAACAAGAGCCCAAAUUUUAAGAAAAGUGAAAAUAUGAGAUAAAAAUUAUAAUUAAGCUAAAAAAUAAUAAACUUAAAAAGAUUAAUUUGCCGUAUCAAGAAACUCAUCGGUUCACUAGUUUGACUAGUGAACCGGUUGGAUCACACCGGUUUUCACCUGGUCAAUUACAGUUAUGGUUUAAUUGUUAUAAGUAAUUCAUAUUCAGAAGUAGUAUUGUUAAUCAGAAGCAGGAGCUUCUAAUGUGGUUGUUACAGAAGUAGUGUUUAGCUUUUAGUUGUAGUUGAUUUUAAGUUUUUCAUAAGGUGCAUUACUCAGCUAGCAUAGAUUAGCAUUUUGCCUACGUGUCAUUUUUGUUUGUGUAUAUAAAUCAAACGUGUAAUAGAAUUUCAUAAUGCAAUCAAUAGAGUUUCUCUCAAAAGUUAGUUAGAUAUCUCUCUCUCUCUCUCUCUCUCUCUCUCUCUCUCUCUCUCUCUCUCUCUCUCUAUAUAUAUAUAUAUAUAUAUAUCAAUCUUCAUCUUCAACCUUGUGCACCAAAAAUUGGUAUCUAGAGCUCCGAUUCGAUUCACAGGGAAACACGAGUGUAUUCUAUAUAUAUAUAUAUAUAUAUAUCAAUCUUCAUCUUCAACCUUGUGCACCAAAAAUUGGUAUCUAGAGCUCCGAUUCGAUUCACAGGGAAACACGAGUGUACGGUCAUGCGUGUGUGAUUGAUUUCAUUUCUUGAAUUCUGAAUUCAUGACCGGAAUCUUAACAGAAUCAUAUUUCUUGAAUUUGAGGGAUUGGGAAACACGAGUGUUUGGUGAGAUUUGUGUGAGUUUCAGUGCACAAAAUUGAAGAUGAACGGCGAAAAUGGUAGCUUGAAUACAAAGCUUCCAGUGUUUGAUUGAAAGAGUUGGAAUCAGUGGUGGAUUCAUAUGUGUGUGUUGUUUGGCGCUCAAGACAUUCUUGAUCUCGCCAACGACAAUUAUGUUCUGGUUGCGAAGGAUGUGAUAGAAGCACAAAGAAAUGUGUAAAUAGAAAUGAGGAAGAUAGAUUAAAAGGCGUUGUUCUAAAUCCAUUAGUGUAUGGAUGCGAACGUGUUUGAGAAAAUUGUUGAUUCGACGACGCCGAAAGCUGCGUGGGACACACUGGUACAGUGCUACAGCGGUGAUGCAUAAGUGAAGAAGGUAAAGCUUCAGUCUCUACGUAAACAGUAUGAGAAUCUCGACAUGAAGAGCAAUGAGCAGAUACCUGAUUAUAUCUCUAGAGUGAUUCUGAUCACCAAUGAAGUGAAAUCUUAUGGAGAAACUUUGUUAGAACAAGUAAUCUUUGAAAAGGUAAUGAGAUCUCUUACUCCUCAAUUUGAUUACAUUGUUGUAGCAAUUGAACAUUCUAAAUACCCCAUCACCAUAAGGAUUGAAGAGCUACAUAGCAGUUUAGAGGCACAAGAGUUGCGUCUGACUGUGAGAACCUCUGAAAGAGAGGUAGAGCAGGCUCUGAAGGCGUCUUGGUCAGAAGCUAAGAAGAGACACGGUGGUGGUUUUAGAAGUCAGAAGCCUCCAAUUCUGGUGAGAAGAAACAUCAUAAGGGAAAGGAGAAGUUUGACAAGAAGAAUGUUCAAUGUUACUGUUGUAAGAAGUUUGGCCACUUUGCUGCUGACUGUUGGUCAAACAAGGAAAGGAAAUCAAAAGAAACAAACAUAGUCAAAGAAGAUUCUGAUGAUGAACUUGUGUUAUUGAUGGCUUCUAAAUUUGAUGGUGCGUAUUUGGUAGACUAGUGGUAUAUGGACACUAGCUGCUCAAAUCACCUAUCUGGAAACAAACAAUGGCUGGUUGAUUUUGACUCCAAAAAUAUGAUAAAGAUCAGAUGUGCUGAUGAUAAAUACCUUAAUGCUGAAGGUAUGAGAAAUGUCAAAGUCAAGGUGAAGAAUGGUAAAAUUGUUCUGAUCAAGGAUGUUUGGUAUGUUCUUGGCAUGAAGAGCAAUCUUAAGAAUGUAAGUUAGCUCAUUGAGAAAUGUUUCUCAGUUACUAUGAAGAACAAUCUCUUGAAGUUGUAUGGUUCUGAUCAGAAUCUAAUUAUGCAAUCUAAGCAGGGAAGUAACAGAACAUUCAAGGCGAAUGUGGAGAAAACUGAAACUACAUUCCUUGGUGUAGAAGACACUAAAGGUGAGAGUGAGUUGUGGCACAAGAGAUUAGAGCAUCUUAAAUUUAGAAGCUUAUGGCAUAUGAAUUCUAAGAAGCUGGUAUAUGGCAUUCCCAAGAUUGUGAAGCCUGAGAAUUCAUGUGAGAUAUGCAUGAAAGGCAAGCAACCUAGAUUGUCAUUUGCAUCAGAAGUAGCCAUGAGAGAAAACAUGCUUUGGGAGUAGUACACUUUGAUGUUUGUGGAUCAUUUGAAGUACCUUCACUUGGAGGAAACAAAUAUUUUGUGUCAUUUGUGGAUGACUUUACAGUAAUUACAUGGGUAGCACUCAUCAAGUUUAAGCAUGAGAUGUUUGCUGAGUUUCAGAAGUUCAAGGUGAAGGCUGAAAAACAUAGUGGUCAGAAGUUGAAAGU